AGCGAACGUUGGCGGCGUGGAUUAGGCAUGCAAGUCGAACGCGAAUCCCUGGGCAACUGGGGAGGAGAGUGGCGAAAGGGGCAGUAAGGCGUGGGUAACCUACCCUCCGGGCCGGGAUAGCUUCGGGAAACUGAAGGUAAUACCGGGCGACGCAGCGAGAUCGCAUGGUCUUGCUGCCAAAGGUCCGCCGCCGGGGGAGGGGCUCACGUGGUAUUAGCUAGACGGCGGGGUAACGGCCCACCGUGGCAAAGAUGCCUAGCAGGUGUGAGAGCACGACCUGCGCCACUGGCACUGAGACACUGGCCAGACACCUACGGGUGGCUGCAGUCGAGGAUCUUCGGCAAUGGGCGCAAGCCUGACCGAGCGACGCCGCGUGUGCGAUGAAGGCCUUCGGGUUGUAAAGCACUGUCGAGGGGGAGGAAGCCGCAAGGUUGACCUAUCCCUGGAGGAAGCACGGGCUAAGUUCGUG
RNAcentral lists this ribosomal RNA (469 nucleotides) under uncultured bacterium. Its description in RNAcentral is "partial 16S ribosomal RNA". It matches the Rfam family "Bacterial small subunit ribosomal RNA", at positions 30 to 507 of the family's 1533-position model. The record is from RNAcentral.